Molecule: small RNA, 331 nt
Filed under: Arabidopsis thaliana (thale cress)
Lineage: Eukaryota; Viridiplantae; Streptophyta; Magnoliopsida; Brassicales; Brassicaceae
Description: ATSL145730
Source: RNAcentral
AUACUUACAAAUGGUUAUUCUUAUUCCGACCAAAACAAUUCUAUAAAUUUUCAAACAAUUAAUCUCUUUUUUAUUUUGUACAGCAGAAACUCAAGUGUGAUGAGGAUUCAAGGGAUAUAAGUUAUAACCAAAGUAUGAUUUUGAUUCUGUAAAUGGAAGAGAGAUGGCAUAGAAGAAGAACUGGUAUUUUUCAAGAAGAACCAACAGUUAAUGGAAGGAAGAAGCAUGGAACAGAAGAAAGAUGUGUUUAAACAUGAAGAAACCAAAACCAAAUUAUGAUUAUUUUUUUGCUUAUCUUAUAUAAAGAUUUAUUGUUCAUGUAAAAUAUUUU